CCUACGGGUGGCAGCAGUGGGGAAUAUUGCGCAAUGGGGGCAACCCUGACGCAGCCAUGCCGCGUGUGUGAAGAAGGCCUUCGGGUUGUAAAGCACUUUCAGUGGGGAGGAAAGAGUGCCGGCUAAUAUCCGGUGCAGUUGACGCUACCCACAGAAGAAGCACCGGCUAAUUCCGUGCCAGCAGCCGCGGUAAUACGGAAGGUGCAAGCGUUAAUCGGAAUUACUGGGCGUAAAGCGCGCGUAGGCGGCUUGGUAAGUCGGGUGUGAAAGCCCCGGGCUCAACCUGGGAACUGCACUCGAUACUGCCGGGCUAGAGUACGAAAGAGGGGGGUGGAAUUCCAGGUGUAGCGGUGAAAUGCGUAGAGAUCUGGAGGAACAUCGGUGGCGAAGGCGGCCCCCUGGUUCGAUACUGACGCUGAGGUGCGAAAGCGUGGGGAGCAAACAGGAUUAGAUACCCCUGUAGUC
This 465-nucleotide ribosomal RNA is filed under the name uncultured bacterium. RNAcentral describes it as "bacterial SSU rRNA". It matches the Rfam family "Bacterial small subunit ribosomal RNA", at positions 338 to 795 of the family's 1533-position model. The record is from RNAcentral.